Molecule: small RNA, 591 nt
Filed under: Pongo abelii (Sumatran orangutan)
Lineage: Eukaryota; Metazoa; Chordata; Mammalia; Primates; Hominidae
Description: retained intron
Source: RNAcentral
ACUUCCGCUUCCCCUCGGCUUUCUUCUCGUCUGUAUUCCCGGCUGCUAUAGAGCCGGGUUAGAGAGCGAGCGCCCGUCCGCGGGCGUCGAGGGCGGGUUGCCUCGCGCUGACCCUUCCCGCCCUCGUUACACACCAGGUCCCCGCGGAAGCGGCGGUGUCGGCGCCAUGGCGGAGCUGACGGCUCUUGAGAGUCUCAUCGAGAUGGGCUUCCCCAGGGGACGCGCGGAGAAGGCUCUGGCCCUCACAGGGAACCAGGGCAUCGAGGCUGCGAUGGACUGGCUGAUGGAGCACGAAGACGACCCAGAUGUGGACGAGCCUCUAGAGACUCCCCUUGGACAUAUCCUGGGACGGGAGCCCACUUCCUCAGAGCAAGGCGGCCUUGAAGGAUCUGGUUCUGCUGCCGGAGAAGGCAAACCCGUUUUGAGUGAAGAGGAAAGACAGGAACAGACUAAGAGGUACAGUAACAACAAUCUCACAUCUCUGAGAGUCGUCUUCCACCUCUCCCCAGUACACGUCUGGUCAAAGAACCUUGACCUUUCCACAUUUCCUCUUUCUUGGCAUUUUCUUUUCCUUUUCUUUAAUCUACUUUG